UACGGAGGAUGCGAGCGUUAUCCGGAUUUAUUGGGUUUAAAGGGAGCGUAGACGGGUUUUUAAGUCAGCUGUGAAAGUUUGGGGCUCAACCUUAAAAUUGCAGUUGAAACUGGAGACCUUGAGUGCGGUUGAGGCAGGCGGAAUUCGUGGUGUAGCGGUGAAAUGCUUAGAUAUCACGAAGAACCCCGAUUGCGAAGGCAGCCUGCUAAGCCGCCACUGACGUUGAGGCUCGAAAGUGCGGGUAUCAAACAGG
This 253-nucleotide ribosomal RNA is filed under the name Phocaeicola coprophilus DSM 18228 = JCM 13818. Its description in RNAcentral is "partial 16S ribosomal RNA". It matches the Rfam family "Bacterial small subunit ribosomal RNA", at positions 524 to 776 of the family's 1533-position model. The record is from RNAcentral. Lineage: Bacteria; Pseudomonadati; Bacteroidota; Bacteroidia; Bacteroidales; Bacteroidaceae.